Molecule: unclassified non-coding RNA, 298 nt
Organism: Piliocolobus tephrosceles (Ugandan red Colobus)
Lineage: Eukaryota; Metazoa; Chordata; Mammalia; Primates; Cercopithecidae
Rfam family: Metazoan signal recognition particle RNA
About the family: The signal recognition particle (SRP) is a universally conserved ribonucleoprotein. It is involved in the co-translational targeting of proteins to membranes.
Source: Ensembl
ACUGGGUGUGGUGGUGUGUGCCUGUUGUCCCAGCUACUUGGGAGGCUGAGACAGGGGGAUCUUCUGAGCCCAGGAGGUCUGGGCUGUAAAGCAGUAUGUCAAUUGGGUGUCCACACCAAGUUCAGCAUCAGUAUGAUGACCUCUUCGAAGCAAGGACCACCAUGUUGCCUAAGGAGGGGUGAACAGGCCCAGGUUGGAAACAGAGUAGGUCAAAACUCCCAUGCUGAUCAGUAGUGGGAUAGAGCCUGUGAAUAGCCAUUACACUCUGGCCUGGGCAAUGAAAAAAAAACGUAUAUUU